RNAcentral lists this small nuclear RNA (23 nucleotides) under Arabidopsis thaliana (thale cress). Its description in RNAcentral is "snRNA_08362". Lineage: Eukaryota; Viridiplantae; Streptophyta; Magnoliopsida; Brassicales; Brassicaceae. The record is from RNAcentral.
UCAAACAUUUCAACAUUUCGAUU